CAGUUCGGUCCCUAUCCGGCGCGGGCGUAGGAUAUCUGAGAGGAGCUGUCCUUAGUACGAGAGGACCGGGAUGGACGGACCGCUGGUGUAUCAGCUGCAUCGCCAGAUGCAUAAGGCUGGGUAGCCACGUCCGGAAGGGAUAAACGCUGAAGGCAUCUAAGCGUGAAGCCCCCCUCAAGAUGAGAUAUCCCUGCUUCGGCAGUAAGACCCCUUGGAGAGUACGAGGUUAGAUAGGCACAAGGUGUAAGCACGGUAACGUGUUCAGCUGAUGUGUACUAAUAGGUCGAGGGCUUAUCCA
RNAcentral lists this ribosomal RNA (298 nucleotides) under Butyrivibrio hungatei DSM 14810. RNAcentral describes it as "23S rRNA. Bacterial LSU". It matches the Rfam family "Bacterial large subunit ribosomal RNA", at positions 2627 to 2925 of the family's 2925-position model. Lineage: Bacteria; Bacillati; Bacillota; Clostridia; Lachnospirales; Lachnospiraceae. The record is from RNAcentral.